UCGGCGUACCGCUCAGUAACACGUGGGUAACCUGCCCUAUGCUGGGGAAUAACCUCGGGAAACUGAGAAUAAUGCCCCAUAGUCCACAACGCCUGGAACGGUUUGUGGAUCAAAGCUCCGGCGGCAUAGGAUGGGCCUGCGGCGUAUCAGGUUGUAGGGGGUGUAACGUACCCUCUAGCCAUCAACGCGUACGGGUGUUGGGAGACAUAGCCCGGAGAUGGAUUCUGAGACACGAAUCCAGACCCUACGGGGUGCAGCAGGCGCGAAAACUUGGCAAUGCGAGAAAUCGUGACCAGGGAACUCCAAGUGGCUGGGGUAAGACCCAGUCUUUUCUUGACUCUUCAAAGGUCUUGGAAUAAGGGGCGGGUAAGGACGGUGCCAGCCGCCGCGGUAAUACCGGCGCCUCAAGUGGUAGUCGAUUUUAUUGGGCCUAAAACGUCCGUAGCCUGUUUGGUACAUUCGUGGGUAAAUCAACCAGCUCAACUGGUUGAAUUCUGCGAGCACGGCCAGACUUGGGACCGGGAGAGGUGUGGGGUACGCUCAGGGUAGGGGUAAAAUCCUGUCAUCCUGAGCGGACCACCUGUUGCGAAGGCGCCACACUAGAACGGAUCCGACGGUCAGGGACGAAGCCUAGGGGCACGAACCGGAUUAGAUACCCGGGUAGUCCUAGGUGUAAACGCUGUGGACUUGGUGUUGGGGACUCUCCGAGAUUCCUCAGUGCCGAAGCGAAGGUGAUAAGUCCACUGCCUGGGGAGUACGGUCGCAAGGCUGAAACUUAAAGGAAUUGGCGGGGGAGCACCGCAACCUGAGGAUUGUGCGGUUUAAUU
RNAcentral lists this ribosomal RNA (827 nucleotides) under uncultured marine euryarchaeote. Its description in RNAcentral is "bacterial SSU rRNA". It matches the Rfam family "Archaeal small subunit ribosomal RNA", at positions 78 to 907 of the family's 1478-position model. Lineage: Archaea; Methanobacteriati; Methanobacteriota. The record is from RNAcentral.